CCCAGAUCCCAAUGGUGCCAUGGCCAGAAGGAGCCAGAGCAGUGUGGGAUUCAGAGUGCUACCAGUGGGUGUGCCUUCUUUCACCGUCCAGCUCCUUCUAAUUCUCUGUGGACGCCUACUGGAUGCCCAGGCCCAAGAGCUCAUUUUCUGCAAUAAUUCAAGUGGAAAAACCCCAUUGGCCUUUUGUCGAGGGAACCAAGGCGAUGCUAACUUCCUGGUUGGCCUACAAACAUAUGUCAUCCCUGCAGCCCUCCUUGCAUUACCCAAGUUUUGGUGAAGAUACCAAAUUGGGUAAUGCCUUUGUGAUCAAUGUUUUCUGUAAAAGUACAUUGUCUAAAUAAAAAAUAAAACAAGAAAGUA
Long non-coding RNA from Sebastes umbrosus (honeycomb rockfish), 360 nucleotides. RefSeq lists it as uncharacterized. NCBI's taxonomy places the organism in Eukaryota, Metazoa, Chordata, Actinopteri, Perciformes, Sebastidae. The transcript is spliced from 2 exons. The record is from RefSeq and is a predicted model, not a curated record.